RNAcentral lists this ribosomal RNA (227 nucleotides) under uncultured bacterium. RNAcentral describes it as "partial 16S ribosomal RNA". It matches the Rfam family "Bacterial small subunit ribosomal RNA", at positions 1274 to 1500 of the family's 1533-position model. The record is from RNAcentral.
AAAAAAUAAACGUCCCAGUUCGGAUUGCAGGCUGCAACCCGCCUGCAUGAAGCUGGAAUCGCUAGUAAUCGCGGAUCAGAAUGCCGCGGUGAAUACGUUCCCGGGUCUUGUACACACCGCCCGUCACACCAUGGGAGUCGGUAACGCCCGAAGUCAGUGACCCAACCGAAAGGAGGGAGCUGCCGAAGGCGGGACUGGUAACUGGGGUGAAGUCGUAACAAGGUAAC